CAACCAUCAAGCCCCCGGCUUGUGUUGGGGACCUGCGGCUGCCGCAGGCCCUGAAAACCAGUGGCGGGCUCGCUAGUCACUCCGAGCGUAGUAAUACAUCUCGCUCAGGGCGUGCUGCGGGUUCCGGCCGUUAAAAAGCCUUAUUUACCCAAGG
This 154-nucleotide unclassified non-coding RNA is filed under the name uncultured Humicola. RNAcentral's name for it is "sequence contains ITS2". The record is from RNAcentral. Lineage: Eukaryota; Fungi; Ascomycota.